CUACGGGAUGCUCCAGUGAGGAAUAUUGGUCAAUGGGCGCGAGCCUGAACAGCCAUCCCGCGUGCAGGAUGACGGCCCUAUGGGUUGUAAACUGCUUUUCUAUGCCAAGAAACCUGAUUACGUGUAAUCAGUUGCCGGUAGCAUAGGAAUAAGCAUCGGCUAACUCCGUGCCAGCAGCCGCGGUAAUACGGAGGAUGCAAGCGUUAUCCGGAUUCAUUGGGUUUAAAGGGUGCGCAGGUGGGCUUGUAAGUCAGUGGUGAAAUGCUGCCGCUUAACGGUAGAACUGCCAUUGAUACUGCGAGUCUUGAGUAUGGUUGAGGUAGGCGGAAUGUGUUGUGUAGCGGUGAAAUGCAUAGAUAUGACACAGAACGCCGAUUGCGAAGGCAGCUUACUAAGCCAUUACUGACGCUGAGGCACGAAAGCGUGGGGAGCGAACAGGAUUAGAUACCCUAGUAGUC
Molecule: ribosomal RNA, 458 nt
Filed under: uncultured bacterium
Lineage: Bacteria
Description: partial 16S ribosomal RNA
Rfam family: Bacterial small subunit ribosomal RNA
Source: RNAcentral